RNAcentral lists this transfer RNA (79 nucleotides) under Bifidobacterium longum subsp. longum. RNAcentral's name for it is "tRNA-Lys". It matches the Rfam family "tRNA". From Rfam's summary of the family: Transfer RNA (tRNA) molecules are approximately 80 nucleotides in length. Their secondary structure includes four short double-helical elements and three loops (D, anti-codon, and T loops). RNAcentral also lists the same sequence under 3 other names. Lineage: Bacteria; Bacillati; Actinomycetota; Actinomycetes; Bifidobacteriales; Bifidobacteriaceae. The record is from RNAcentral.
GCCCCUCUAGUUCAGCGGUCAGAAUACCGGACUUUUAAUCCGUUUGUGGUCGUGGGUUCGAAUCCCACGGGGGGCACGA